Medicago truncatula (barrel medic) is the source of this 743-nucleotide long non-coding RNA. RefSeq lists it as uncharacterized. Lineage: Eukaryota; Viridiplantae; Streptophyta; Magnoliopsida; Fabales; Fabaceae. The transcript has 3 exons. The record is from RefSeq and is a predicted model, not a curated record.
UUAAUUAAUAAAAUAGAAACCUUCUAUCUCUUUCACAACAACUCAGAACCAUUCCUAUCAAACCCUUUGCACCUUCAACCCCCAAAAUCUGAUCGAACCCUACUGAAACUUCAGAACCAAAGUAACAAAGAAAAAAGGGCAAUGGAGUUACAGAACUCAUACCCACACAACACUCUCUUGGUGUAGAUCAGAGUCUCUCUUUCCUCUCUUCUCGGAUUUUGAUCUCUGAUUUCGAUCCCUGAAUCCCCCAAUUCCGGCAAAUCGAUUCAUCAAAUCCUUCUCUUGCAAUUCGAUCUGAUUCAACUUUCCCGGCGAACACACUCAAUCAUCGAUUGUGAAUCCUUUCUCUACAGGAAUGUUAUUGAGGAGUUGGAGUAAUUAGGCACAAUGCAAAGUUCAUAUGAUAUUGAGCAAGCAUUAUUUAGAAGUGCAUGGUAUGGAGGAAGAUGUCUAGCGAGUGGAAGUGCACUUAAGAUAGUUUUUUCUUCAUCAGAUAAAUAAUGAUGGUAUCGAUUAAUAAUUUCAAGAUUUGGAAGCACAAGACGAUGAGUUAGAUGUUUGAUGGUUACGAUUUUUUUACAGAUGUUAUUUUGAUUGUGGUCAAUAAUGAUUGGCCUUAUGUCUUUUUUUUUUUUUUUUAGGGAGUUUGCCUUAUGUCUCACUAUGUACCUUUAAGACUUGAGUACUUAUUUUGACAAAUAUUUGAAGGUUAAUAAUAACAAUUAACACAGUUUCUAAUUUUA